Paramuricea clavata is the source of this 211-nucleotide non-coding RNA. NCBI's taxonomy places the organism in Eukaryota, Metazoa, Cnidaria, Anthozoa, Malacalcyonacea, Plexauridae. The record is from the annotation of a GenBank genome assembly.
GUUGUACAUUUAUUUGUUCGAUUACUUCUAUUUACAACUUGUAGAUCGUAUACGAGAAUCGAUGAACGAAAUUUACCUCAUGACAAACAUGUAAGUAUAUAUCACCUCUAAGUACUUGGCUUCGAUUCUCAGUAACGGACUCAUGUGAAAAGAGUCAGUCAACGUUCUGUCGAAAGUGGUGGGGUUCCUCUAGAUGCCUUGGUUUCCUCCU